RNAcentral lists this ribosomal RNA (464 nucleotides) under Vreelandella stevensii. RNAcentral's name for it is "partial 16S ribosomal RNA". It matches the Rfam family "Bacterial small subunit ribosomal RNA", at positions 338 to 794 of the family's 1533-position model. The record is from RNAcentral. Lineage: Bacteria; Pseudomonadati; Pseudomonadota; Gammaproteobacteria; Oceanospirillales; Halomonadaceae.
CCUACGGGCGGCAGCAGUGGGGAAUAUUGGACAAUGGGCGAAAGCCUGAUCCAGCCAUGCCGCGUGUGUGAAGAAGGCCUUCGGGUUGUAAAGCACUUUCAGUGGGGAAGAAAGCCUUGGGGCUAAUACCCUCGAGGAAGGACAUCACCCACAGAAGAAGCACCGGCUAACUCCGUGCCAGCAGCCGCGGUAAUACGGAGGGUGCGAGCGUUAAUCGGAAUUACUGGGCGUAAAGCGCGCGUAGGCGGUCUGAUAAGCCGGUUGUGAAAGCCCCGGGCUCAACCUGGGAACGGCAUCCGGAACUGUCAGGCUAGAGUGCAGGAGAGGAAGGUAGAAUUCCCGGUGUAGCGGUGAAAUGCGUAGAGAUCGGGAGGAAUACCAGUGGCGAAGGCGGCCUUCUGGACUGACACUGACGCUGAGGUGCGAAAGCGUGGGUAGCAAACAGGAUUAGAUACCCUGGUAGU